AUAUGAUGUGUUUUUAUGUCUCUUAGUAAAAACAAAUGGAAGGUGUUAAUUCCUUUCUCAUUCUACAGGAUCAUCUGAAAGCAAAAGAUUUCACUACAGAACAGAGAACAUUAAAAAGUAUGUGCUGCUUAUUUCUGUGUACACAACCAAGUGAGGAGAGUAUACGAGCAUUCCUUUGGGAGAGAAAGGAAAGAAAACUGCCAGCCUGUGAUCCAAGGAUUUCUUACUUUCCAUUCUUUCAUUCAUUAUUUGAAGUCAUUUUUUCUGAAGAUUAUGGUUCAUGUUUCCAGGUACGCUCACUGAAUAUUCGCUGCUUUGAGCCAAACCUCUUAUCAGCCCUGCUUCACACUUUUACUUUGGAGAAGUUAAGAAUAUUAUUCAGAUUUCCU
Molecule: long non-coding RNA, 389 nt
Filed under: Numida meleagris (helmeted guineafowl)
Lineage: Eukaryota; Metazoa; Chordata; Aves; Galliformes; Numididae
Description: lncRNA (ENSNMEG00000022965.1)
Source: RNAcentral